This 336-nucleotide ribosomal RNA is filed under the name uncultured bacterium. RNAcentral's name for it is "bacterial SSU rRNA". It matches the Rfam family "Bacterial small subunit ribosomal RNA", at positions 30 to 349 of the family's 1533-position model. The record is from RNAcentral.
AGUGAACGCUGGCGGCAGGCCUAACACAUGCAAGUCGAGCGGCAGCGGGUCCCCGCGAGGGGAUGCCGGCGAGCGGCGGACGGGUGAGGAACACAUCGGAAUCUGCCUGGUUGUGGGGGAUAACGUAGGGAACUUACGCUAAUACCGCAUGCGACCCUGAGUCGACGGACUUGGGGUGAAAGUGAGGGACCUUCGGGCCUCACGCGACCAGAUGAGCCGAUGUCGGAUUAGCUAGUUGGCGGGGUAACGGCCCGCCAAGGCGACGAUCCGUAGCUGGUCUGAGAGGAUGAUCAGCCACACUGGGACUGAGACACGGCCCAGACUCCUACGGGAGGC